Molecule: non-coding RNA, 46 nt
Filed under: Alkalitalea saponilacus
Lineage: Bacteria; Pseudomonadati; Bacteroidota; Bacteroidia; Marinilabiliales; Marinilabiliaceae
Source: RNAcentral
GUUGUGAAUUGCUUUCAAAUUGUAUCUUUGACAUAUUGGUAACAAC